This is a long non-coding RNA of Culex pipiens pallens (northern house mosquito), 955 nucleotides long. RefSeq lists it as uncharacterized. Lineage: Eukaryota; Metazoa; Arthropoda; Insecta; Diptera; Culicidae. The record is from RefSeq and is a predicted model, not a curated record. The transcript is spliced from 2 exons.
CGCCCUGGUCGGAGUUCGGGGAAGGUCGUCGGUUGGUUGGUAUCGAUUUGGAUCUAAACGCGCAAUUACAGUUCUUUGUGCGGAAUUCCUUGGGGAGACUUCAACGAAGAAAAAAUGGAAAACUGACUGUAACGAGAACUCACCACGACACUGCAAAACUGCAGCAGUUUGGAAAAGUUUCUCCACCGUCGUCACGUGGAUUGUUGCUGGAUAUCCGUCUUAACCGACCGACCCCGUACAGGAAAACUUUGGAUGUAGGCUACAAACUUGAAACAACUUCCCCGGGAGGUAGCAAAGGUGAUAGGCACCUCCAUUGCAUUUGCGCUGCGUUCCGGAAAUGUGUAACCGGAACGGUCAACCGGAAGUGAUGCGUUGUUGGCACCGGCAUGGGGGAGGCCGGUGGAGAAUGGAAUUUUGCUGCUGCCGGCGAGUUGUUCUUGUCACCGGUUACAUGAUGGACCUAAAUUGAAGCGGUCCUCGCAACGGAAGUUGGUGUAAAUUUACUUCAACAAACGCGAAACUUCCGCAGAAUCAAGGGAAAGAAGAAGAAAUUUAGCCUGAUUAGUUUAUGAAUAUUCUUACGAUUGCAAGUUGUUUGUUACACACAUGUUUUGUAAAUUUAUAACGCCUUUACAAAUUUGUUACAAUGUUUUAAAGCAGGUUAUGAAAAAUAUUUCACGAUCCUUUUUAUAUAAGCGACGAACCUUCCAGAUUAUGAACGCAAAUUGGAGGAAAAACAAACAUUUUUGGCGAUUUUUAUGAAACCCUGGAGCCUUAUCUAAUUUUGUUAAAAAAAUAUUUGCUGGAGCUGUUUGCAAAACAAUAUUUUGAUCGAUUUGAAAAUGUAAAGAUCAACUCAAUUCAAAAGAGGACAACUUUAUUUGUAAGAUUUCACCAGCUUCACCACAUUCGAUAACAUAUUGAAAUGCACAAAUAAAUCUGUACAACAAUCAUG